RNAcentral lists this ribosomal RNA (404 nucleotides) under uncultured soil bacterium. RNAcentral describes it as "bacterial SSU rRNA". It matches the Rfam family "Bacterial small subunit ribosomal RNA", at positions 26 to 419 of the family's 1533-position model. The record is from RNAcentral.
AGAGUGAACGCUGGCAGUAGGCCUAACACAUGCAAGUCGAACGGCAGCACAGUGGUAGCAAUACCAUGGGUGGCGAGUGGCGGACGGGUGAGGAAUACAUCGGAAUCUACCUUUUCGUGGGGGAUAACGUAGGGAAACUUACGCUAAUACCGCAUACGCCCUUUGGGGGAAAGCCGGGGAUCGCAAGACCUGGCGCGGAUAGAUGAGCCGAUGUCGGAUUAGCUAGUUGGUGAGGUAAUGGCUCACCAAGGCGACGAUCCGUAGCUGGUCUGAGAGGAUGAUCAGCCACACUGGAACUGACGACACGGUCCAGACCUCCGACGGGAGGCAGCAGGUGGGAAUACUUGGACAAGUGGGCGCAAGCCUGAUCCAGCCAACUACCGGCGUAGGGGUCGAAAGGACGG